Molecule: ribosomal RNA, 253 nt
Filed under: uncultured bacterium
Lineage: Bacteria
Description: partial 16S ribosomal RNA
Rfam family: Bacterial small subunit ribosomal RNA
Source: RNAcentral
UACGGGGGGGGCGAGCGUUGUUCGGAAUUACUGGGCGUAAAGGGUGCGUAGGCGGUUCGCUAAGUUGGAUGGGAAAACUCUGGGCUUAACCCAGAGCCUGCAUCCAAUACUGACGAGCUAGAGUUCUGGAGGGGGUAGCGGAAUUCCUGGUGUAGCGGUGAAAUGCGUAGAUAUCAGGAGGAACACCGGUGGCGAAGGCGGCUACCUGGACAGAGUCUGACGCUGAGGCACGAAAGCUAGGGGAGCAAACAGG